Molecule: ribosomal RNA, 253 nt
Filed under: uncultured bacterium
Lineage: Bacteria
Description: partial 16S ribosomal RNA
Rfam family: Bacterial small subunit ribosomal RNA
Source: RNAcentral
UACGUAGGGAGCAAGCGUUGUCCGGAUUUAUUGGGCGUAAAGCGUCUGUAGGUGGCUUUUUAAGUCCGCCGUCAAAUCCCAGGGCUCAACCCUGGACAGGCGGUGGAAACUACCAAGCUGGAGUACGGUAGGGGCAGAGGGAAUUUCCGGUGGAGCGGUGAAAUGCGUAGAUAUCGGGAGGAAUACCGAUGGCGAAGGCAGGUCUCUGGGCUGACACUGACGCUCAUGCACGAAAGCGUGGGGAGCAAACAGG